CUGGAAAUGGCGGUGUGCGGUGGUGGUAUACCUGUUGCAUUUGGGAUUUCACUGAGAGAAUAAGAAGGAAUCGACGAUGGACUGCUACGCAACUAUUGCACCACUGAAGGAUGUCUGUGUGCCGGUUUGUGCUCAGUUUCUCAGCCAGUGGGCCUGAGAAAGUGUGCCACAGCAGUCUGUCUAGUGGUGCUCUUUGUUCUGGAAGGACGCAAGCAUUGCAAGGAGCCAUUUGACCUG
Long non-coding RNA from Dermacentor albipictus, 237 nucleotides. RefSeq lists it as uncharacterized. Lineage: Eukaryota; Metazoa; Arthropoda; Arachnida; Ixodida; Ixodidae. The record is from RefSeq and is a predicted model, not a curated record.